AAAGUGAAGGCAGCCUCGGGUUUGCCUAGGUAGGAUCCUUUUUUCUCUUUCGAGAGGAGGCGCACUACCGGCCCGUCUCGUCCGCGUUGCGGUGAGGCGGAGCGAGAGCGUACACGUUGGGACCCGAAAGAUGGUGAACUAUGCCUGAGUAGGACGAAGCCAGAGGAAACUCUGGUGGAAGUCCGUAGCGAUUCUGACGUGCAAAUCGAUCGUCGAACUUGGGUAUAGGGGCGAAAGACUAAUCGAACCGUCUAGUAGCUGGUUCCUUCCGAA
RNAcentral lists this ribosomal RNA (273 nucleotides) under Mopalia imporcata. Its description in RNAcentral is "partial 28S ribosomal RNA". It matches the Rfam family "Eukaryotic large subunit ribosomal RNA", at positions 722 to 965 of the family's 3401-position model. The record is from RNAcentral. Lineage: Eukaryota; Metazoa; Mollusca; Polyplacophora; Chitonida; Mopaliidae.